This 2882-nucleotide long non-coding RNA is filed under the name Homo sapiens (human). Its description in RNAcentral is "HSALNT0116974". The record is from RNAcentral. Lineage: Eukaryota; Metazoa; Chordata; Mammalia; Primates; Hominidae.
CUCAGACACGCCCUGGCGGCACCCAGGCCCUGCUUGGCUCCCCUGGACGGAGCCAGAAGACCUCCUCUUUGUCAGGAAGUCUGCAGGUUUCAGAGACUAAUUCUCUGCUGGGCAUGUGUCCAGAAGAGGUGUAAGGAGUGACAGAUUGAUGGAAAGGCACGGCACCUUGGCUGGACAGGCUCGUCCUGUUUCUGGGCGGGCGGGGCGCACGCCUUCCGUGUUUGGUGGAGAAGCAGCCUGUGGUGAGGAGCGAGGAGCCAGAAGGACGGCUUGGGAGUGCCCUGGGGGACCUGAAUUGCUGUGAGUGUUGACAGCUCAGGAAAACUUACUCUUCUGUCAGAAGAAAUACGUCUUUUAGGAAUUGGCCUGAGUUAGAAUCUCAGAUGCUAAGAAAUCGACCGACUUUUCAGGAAAAAGGUGUGUUUUCAGCCUUGCUGUGAGUGGCUGUGAGAAGGGUCUGAUUUGUCGCUGAUACAGGUUCCUAAAGGGAGUGCCACUGCCCCAGCUGACAGCUCGCUGCAGGUGAACCCCAGCUUGCUUCCUAAUGUUCUGUGCUCAGGAGGGGAAGCUCCCAGUGGCUCAAGUGACCCUGGUGCUGUGUGCCUGCAAAGUUCUCCGCAAGCGGGGCAGGACCAACUUGCCACCCCAGACACAGGAUAAAAAUUGCAGCAGAGCAAGACUCAAGCUGGAUCACGUGGUGUGGUGACUUCUUUACUUCGCACCCCUUUUCAACCUUAACAUACUGAAGGGGAAGCGCUGUGGAGAAAACCGGAUGAUGGGUGGAGACCAGGAAGGGUACAGGGAGCCCACCUGUGGAGACGGGAGGACCACGUGCGGAUUCUGUGCCUGACGUGAACGUGCUUGCCAGGUGUCCUGCGUGGUCUCCGGCCACCACAAGGAGAGCCUCCCUCUGCACUUGCCUUCACCCUGGCUGCCUGUUAGAGAGCUACAGGGCAACUAUGAAAAGUCACUCGUGCCAGCCCUCCCCAUCCCUCCCCACAUGGUGUAGCCAGCCUCUCCAUGGUUGGUCUACGUGCAGCUCUGCAGGUGACCGAAUGUGCUUGCCCGGAGAACCUGCCCCUGCAGAGCCCCUCAGUUGGAGACCUGGUGCUUUUCAAGGCCAGACACCUGAUCCUAUAUCCAGCACACCCUGGUGAACACCAGAAACCCGGGGCACAGGAAGGGACCCUUGUUUGCCUGUGGAAAGUGUUAACAGGAACUUGAUGCAUUUAGACCACGUGUUAACUUUGGGCGUCACUGACGGAUGUCUGAGAACUUGAGGUGGGGAGAUGGCGAUUUAGCUUCUCAGGCUGGCCUGGGUAAUUAAACUACCGAUGUUAUUUAUGAGUUUUGGUCUUAAAGUGUUGUGCAAGCACCAGAGGCUUCCUAGCAAAGAGAGUGCGAUUUUCUUAAUCACAUAAAAUCUCAAGGUCCUGGCAGCUGCUCUUCAGAGGGUGUUUCCCGCUGUUGCAGCUUAAUCUGGUAGCGAAGCUGUUGAUUGAGUUCCCGUGAGUAACAAGAAACAGCAGAGAUUUGUGCAUUUCUACGUACGGCAAGUCCUGGCCCCAACAGCUUAGUGCUACACCUACCAGUUGUGGGAAAAUUUACAUUUCCAGGAAACUGCAUACAACUGGGUAGAGCGCUGGUCCUUCAGGGAGAGAAGUGUUCCAGUUAAAUAUGGCCAUCUUCUUCCUCCGUCUCCAAGAAUACAAACACAUUAUUUUAAGAACCAAAAUGGCUGAGCCCACAAUUGUAGCAUGAACAGCCCUAGGCAUUAAACAACAGGUUAAGUAGCUCUUGCUGUCUAUGAGCCCAGCUCUGACACUGCCUGGGUGAGGGCCUAGCCCCCAGUGCCUGAGUUUCUGCAUCUGUGAGCCCAGCUCUGGCACUGCCUGGCUGUGGGGUGCUAGGCCCUCAGUGCCUCAGUUUCCAUAUCUGUACACUGGGUCUCCAAAUGGUGUUGACCAUCAUGGAGUGGUUGUAAGGAGUUAAUGACUCAUAUGCAUGAAGUUCUUAGAACAGGCCUUCCCCUUUGCCAGCACUCAAUAAAUGUCAGUUAUUAUUAGCAAUAUUAGGGUCAGGCUACAAUAGUAAAGGGUAGUGUUUUGUCCCUGAGAGGAUUGGAAUCUAGAUGGAAUGAGAAAUAAUAACAGCAGCCAUCAUUUGAAUUUUCCCUGUAUACCGGGCAGCAGACUAGCACGUUGAGUAAAUAUCUCAAGUAAAGGGUACAAAUCCAGGUGGAAACAGAGAAGGAGCCUGUGACAGAAACUGUGCAGCCAGGAGAGGCCGGAUCUACAUGCUCAGAACACAGGGUUGUCGGCGAAGCUUCCCCGAGAGCCCACUUGGACCUGUUGUGGGAAGAGACGGCAGAGCUAAGACAAGCAGGUGGGUGCCGUGGAGGAGCCGAGAGCCGAUUGCAAACAACAGCAGAGGACGUCUCCUCUGCGACUGUGGGACUCCCCUUUCCUAGGUGUCUUUUAAAGCAGAAUUGAUUCCCACCCUGCGGGGAGAGGGGCGUGCGGUGUGAACCUGCUGGCAAGAAGGGGAGGGAGUGAAAUCUUUACAGAGCACCCUCCGUGAGGCCGGAUUUUUAGAGGUAGGGAUCAGGAACCACUGGGGCAGUCCCUGCAGGGGGUGGUCUGGGCUUGUGUGAAAACCUUGGCGAGGAGAGACCCAUGCCAGCGACGUGGCGUCCUAAGCAGGACGUCCAGCGAGUCAGUCACCAGCGCGGGCGCCUCGUCCUGUCCAUGGAACAUUCUGGGCUGCGCCGCCUCCCCUGGGGGUGGGGCUGCAGGAACCCUCAGGACCCUCACGCCCUGGGGGAGGAAGAAGCCUGGGCUGAGUCCCAGUGCUUGUGGGGAAGCUCUGAGCGUGGACACCGU